UGGGGGAUAUUGCACAAUGGGGGAAACCCUGAUGCAGCAACGCCGCGUGAGGGAAGAAGGUUUUCGGAUUGUAAACCUCUGUCCUUGGUGAAGAUAAUGACGGUAGCCAAGGAGGAAGCUCCGGCUAACUACGUGCCAGCAGCCGCGGUAAUACGUAGGGAGCGAGCGUUGUCCGGAUUUACUGGGUGUAAAGGGUGCGUAGGCGGGAGAUCAAGUCAGUAGUGAAAUCCAUGGGCUUAACUCAUGGCGUGCUAUUGAAACUGAUUUUCUUGAGUGAGUCAGAGGCAGGCGGAAUUCCCGGUGUAGCGGUGAAAUGCAUAGAGAUCGGGAGGAACACCAGUGGCGAAGGCGGCCUGCUGGGGCUUAACUGACGCUGAGGCACGAAAGCGUGGGGAGCAAACAGG
RNAcentral lists this ribosomal RNA (404 nucleotides) under uncultured bacterium. Its description in RNAcentral is "bacterial SSU rRNA". It matches the Rfam family "Bacterial small subunit ribosomal RNA", at positions 355 to 776 of the family's 1533-position model. The record is from RNAcentral.